GUUUUGACUGAUGUUUGGAGAUGGUACUGUUCUUACUGCUGUGUGGAGGUGGUACCGUUCUGACUGCUGUGUGGAGAUGGCACUGUUCUGACUGCUGUGUGGAGAUGGUACUUUGCUGACUGCUGUGUGGAGGUGGCACUGUUCUGACUGCUGUGUGGAGGUGGUACUUUGCUGACUGCUGUGUGGAGAUGGUACUUUGCUGACUGCUGUGUGGAGGUGGCACUGUUCUGACUGCUGUGUGGAGGUGGUACUUUGCUGACUGCUGUGUGGAGAUGGUACUGUUCUGACUGCUGUGUGGAGAUG
This is a non-coding RNA of Oryctolagus cuniculus (rabbit), 303 nucleotides long. The record is from RefSeq and is a predicted model, not a curated record. NCBI's taxonomy places the organism in Eukaryota, Metazoa, Chordata, Mammalia, Lagomorpha, Leporidae.